This 447-nucleotide ribosomal RNA is filed under the name uncultured bacterium. RNAcentral's name for it is "bacterial SSU rRNA". It matches the Rfam family "Bacterial small subunit ribosomal RNA", at positions 329 to 793 of the family's 1533-position model. The record is from RNAcentral.
GACCAGACUCCUACGGGAGGCAGCAGUGGGGAAUAUUGCACAAUGGGGGAAACCCUGAUGCAGCGACGCCGCGUGAGUGAAGAAGUAUUUCGGUAUGUAAAGCUCUAUCAGCAGGGAAGAAAAUGACGGUACCUGAUUAAGAAGCCCCGGCUAACUACGUGCCAGCAGCCGCGGUAAUACGUAGGGGGCAAGCGUUAUCCGGAUUUACUGGGUGUAAAGGGAGCGUAGACGGUGCAGCAAGUCUGAUGUGAAAGGUCGGGGCCCAACCCCGGGACUGCAUUGGAAACUGUUGAACUGGAGUACAGGAGAGGUAAGCGGAAUUCCUAGUGUAGCGGUGAAAUGCGUAGAUAUUAGGAGGAACACCAGUGGCGAAGGCGGCCUGCUGGACGGUGACUGACGCUGAGGCUCGAAAGCGUGGGGAGCAAACAGGAUUAGAUACCCUCGUAU